GUAGUCAUAUGCUUGUCUCAAAGAUUAAGCCAUGCAUGUCUAAGUAUAAGCAACUAUACAGUGAAACUGCGAAUGGCUCAUUAAAUCAGUUAUCGUUUAUUUGAUAGUACCUUUUACAUGGAUAACCGUGGUAAUUCUAGAGCUAAUACAUGCUAAAAACCUCAACUUCGGAAGGGGUGUAUUUAUUAGAUUAAAAACCAAUGCCCUUCGGGGCUCCUUGGUGAUUCAUAAUAACUAAACGAAUCGCAUGGCCUUGCGCCGGCGAUGGUUCAUUCAAAUUUCUGCCCUAUCAACUUUCGAUGGUAAUAUAGUGGAUUACCAUGGUGUCUACGGGUAACGGAGGAUUAGGGUUCGAUCCCGGAGAGAGGGCCUGAGAAACGGCCCUCACAUCCAAGGAAGGCAGCAGGCGCGCAAAUUACCCAAUCCCAAAACGGGGAGGUAGUGACAAUACAUACUGAUACAGGGCUCUUUUGGGUCUUGUAAUUGGAAUGAGUACAAUUUAAAUCCCUUAACCAGGAACAAUUGGAGGGCAAGUCUGGUGCCAGCAGCCGCGGUAAUUCCAGCUCCAAUAGCGUAUAUUAAAAUUGUUGCAGUUAAAAAGCUCGUAGUUGAACCUUGGGUUUGGCUGUCCGGUCCGCCUCACCGCGUGCACUGGUUCGGCCGAACCUUUCCUUCUGGGGAACCGCAUGUCCUUCACUGGAUGUGUUGGGGAACCAGGACUUUUACUUUGAAAAAAUUAGAGUGUUCAAAGCAGGCCUAUGCUCGAAUACAUUAGCAUGGAAUAAUAGAAUAGGACGUGUGGUUCUAUUUUGUUGGUUUCUAGGACCGCCGUAAUGAUUAAUAGGGAUAGUCGGGGGCAUCAGUAUUCAAUUGUCAGAGGUGAAAUUCUUGGAUUUAUUGAAGACUAACUACUGCGAAAGCAUUUGCCAAGGAUGUUUUCAUUAAUCAGUGAACGAAAGUUAGGGGAUCGAAGACGAUCAGAUACCGUCGUAGUCUUAACCAUAAACUAUGUCGACUAGGGAUCGGACGGUGUUAUUAUUUUGACCCGUUCGGCACCUUACGAGAAAUCAAAGUGUGAUUCUGGGGGGAGUAUGGUCGCAAGGCUGAAACUUAAAGAAAUUGACGGAAAGGCACCACCAGGCGUGGAACCUGCGGCUUAAUUUGACUCAACACGGGGAAACUCACCAGGUCCAGACACAGUAAGGAUUGACAGAUUGAGAGCUCUUUCUUGAUUUUGUGGGUGGUGGUGCAUGGCCGUUCUUAGUUGGUGGAGUGAUUUGUCUGCUUAAUUGCGAUAACGAACGAGACCUUAACCUGCUAAAUAGCCAGGCUCGCUUUGGCGAGUCGCCGGCUUCUUAGAGGGACUAUCGGCUCAAGCCGAUGGAAGUUUGAGGCAAUAACAGGUCUGUGAUGC
Molecule: ribosomal RNA, 1414 nt
Filed under: Claviradulomyces dabeicola
Lineage: Eukaryota; Fungi; Ascomycota; Lecanoromycetes; Ostropales; Odontotremataceae
Description: partial 18S ribosomal RNA
Rfam family: Eukaryotic small subunit ribosomal RNA
Source: RNAcentral